Molecule: long non-coding RNA, 883 nt
Organism: Daphnia carinata
Lineage: Eukaryota; Metazoa; Arthropoda; Branchiopoda; Diplostraca; Daphniidae
Exons: 2
Source: RefSeq, a predicted model, not a curated record
AUAAAUAAAUAGCUUUUGCCAGACAUUGAGUGGCUCAGUUACUGGUUGCGUUUAAAGUUUGCUCCGAUGGCGCAGAUUUGAGCGUUUUAGUGGUUGUUUUUUGUUUAGAAGGGUUCAGUUAUCAGCGUGUGGGCCUUAUCGCCGUCAUGGUUCUCUCUAGUUAUCUUUCUCCGGAUGUGAUCUAUCCUUGGUCAGGUUUUAUUUCUACCAAACUCCACAGAGCAAUCGACUAGGGAACAAUCCGACAAACAAGCUAACCAUUGGGCAGAUUAUGAUGCAUCUUUUUGGUUUUUACUGCCACGAGAGAAGCGUGCGUUUCAUAGCCGUUAGAUGGCUCUAUAUGCACUGAAAAAGAAAAACAACUAGAUUUGGAGGUUGGGAAAACGAGGAUCGUCGAGACGAAUUAUCGUGGUCCAUCUGUGAUGUCUUACGUACUUUGCAGUGUGGGUAGUGCCAUAUCUUCGGAGGAGUGUACGAGUUACUAGUGAAACGAGAUUGGAUAUCGUGUUGAUUCUUGUGAAAUUCGAAUAAUUUAAAUAAACAUGGCGACGAAGAAGGUUUUUUCUUGGGCACUGCUUUGACUCUCGUGUGAUAGUUUACAUGGCGACUGCUUCGACUGGCAGUACGAAUAUGUCGAUUGAAAGUUCGUCGAGCAGUACCACCGCAGAAGACUGUGGUGCACAUGUCAAGAUCGAAGAAGAUUUCCUAAAUUCGGGUCGAACGGGACGUCGAAAUGCCAUACCUGAUAUUUAUUGCCCUCAGUCAAGAGUCUCCACAGCAGAACUACCUGGAAAUUUUGCCAGGCUCUCAUGUGAAGAGUCUGGCCAAAGCCAAGUUUCAUCGAGCACCAAUCUGGGGCCCAACUCCUGAUAGAAUGACUCCA